CAGGUUAAUAUCUUAGUGGUUUCUUCGUUUACAUUGAAGGGUUUGCUGUGCGAUUCAGUGUGGCCUGA
This 68-nucleotide transfer RNA is filed under the name Archotermopsis wroughtoni. Its description in RNAcentral is "tRNA-Val". The record is from RNAcentral. Lineage: Eukaryota; Metazoa; Arthropoda; Insecta; Blattodea; Termopsidae.